Long non-coding RNA from Clupea harengus (Atlantic herring), 1180 nucleotides. RefSeq lists it as uncharacterized. NCBI's taxonomy places the organism in Eukaryota, Metazoa, Chordata, Actinopteri, Clupeiformes, Clupeidae. The transcript has 3 exons. The record is from RefSeq and is a predicted model, not a curated record.
GCUCUAUCAGGUGUUCAGCAGGUGAGAGUGAGAGUGUUGCUCUAUCAGGUGUUCAGUAGGUGAGAGUGAGAGUGCUGCUCUAUCAGGUGUUCAGUAGGUGAGAGUGAGAGUGUUGCUCUAUCAGGUGUUCAGCAGGUGAGAGUGAGUGUUGCUCUAUCAGGUGUUCAGCAGGUGAGAGUGUUGCUCUAUCAGGUGUUCAGUAGGUGAGAGUGAGACUGUUGCUCUAGCAGGUGUUCAGCAGGUGAGAGUGUUGCUCUAUCAGGUGUUCAGUAGGUGAGAGUGUGAGUGUUGCUCUAUCAGGUGUUCAGUAGGUGAGAGUGAGAGUGUUGCUCUAUCAGGUGUUCAGUAGGUGAGAGUGAGAGUGUUGCAGGUGUUCAGUAGGUGAGGUGAGAGUGUUGCUCUAGCAGGUGUUCAGCAGGUGAGAGUGAGUGUUGCUCUAUCAGGUGUUCAGUAGGUGAGAGUGUUGCUCUAUCAGGUGUUCAGUAGGUGAGAGUGAGUGUUGCAGGUGUUCAGUAGGUGAGGUGAGAGUGUUGCUCUAUCAGGUGUUCAGUAGGUGAGAGUGAGAGUGUUGCUCUAUCAGGUGUUCAGCAGGUGAGAGUGCUGCUCUAUCAGGUGUUCAGCAGGUGAGAGUGUUGCUCUAUCAGGUGUUCAGUAGGUGAGAGUGAGAGUGUUGCUCUAUCAGGUGUUCAGUAGGUGAGAGUGAGAGUGUUGCUCUAUCAGGUGUUCAGUAGGUGAGAGUGAGAGUGUUGCUCUAUCAGGUGUUCAGCAGGUGAGAGUGAGAGUGUUGCUCUAUCAGGUGUUCAGUUGGUGAGAGUGAGAGUGUUGCUCUAUCAGGUGUUCAGUAGGUGAGAGUGUUGCUCUAGCAGGUGUUCAGUAGGUGAGAGUGUUGCUCUAUCAGGUGUUCAGUAGGUGAGAGUGAGAGUGCUGCAGGUGUUCAGUAGGUGAGAGUGAGAGUGUUGCUCUAUCAGGUGUUCAGUAGGUGAGAGUGUUGCUCUAGCAGGUGUUCAGCAGGUGAGAGUGAGGGUGUUGCUCUAGCAGGUGUUCAGUAGGUGAGGUGAGAGUGUUGCUCUAGCAGGUGUUCAGUAGGUGAGAGUGAGAGUGUUGCUCUAGCAGGUGUUCAGUAGGUGAGAGUGUUGCUCUAGCAGGUGUUCAGCAGGUGAGAGUGUUCAGGUGUUCAGUA